Pelobates cultripes (western spadefoot toad) is the source of this 123-nucleotide non-coding RNA. NCBI's taxonomy places the organism in Eukaryota, Metazoa, Chordata, Amphibia, Anura, Pelobatidae. The record is from the annotation of a GenBank genome assembly.
ACUGCUUCUGUGGACAGGUGUCUUUUAUACAGGUAACAAGCUGAGAUUAAGGAGCACUCCCUUUAAUAGAGUGCUCCUAAUCUCAGUUUGUUACCUGUAUAAAAGAAACCUGGGAGCCAGAAA